GACGAACCGUGCGAACGUUGUUCGGAAUCACUGGGCUUAAAGGGCGCGUAGGCGGACGACCAAGUCGGGGGUGAAAUCUUUCGGCUCAACCGGAAAAUAGCUUUCGAUACUGGCCGUCUUGAGGGAGGUAGGGGCAUGCGGAACUUCCGGUGGAGCGGUGAAAUGCGUUGAGAUCGGAAGGAACUCCGGUGGCGAAAGCGGCGUGCUGGAUCUCUUCUGACGCUGAGGCGCGAAAGAUAGGGGAGCAAACGGG
RNAcentral lists this ribosomal RNA (253 nucleotides) under uncultured bacterium. Its description in RNAcentral is "partial 16S ribosomal RNA". It matches the Rfam family "Bacterial small subunit ribosomal RNA", at positions 524 to 776 of the family's 1533-position model. The record is from RNAcentral.